This 404-nucleotide ribosomal RNA is filed under the name uncultured bacterium. Its description in RNAcentral is "bacterial SSU rRNA". It matches the Rfam family "Bacterial small subunit ribosomal RNA", at positions 356 to 774 of the family's 1533-position model. The record is from RNAcentral.
GGGGAAUUUUACGCAAUGGGGGAAACCCUGACGUAGCGACACCGCGUGAGCGAAGAAGCCCUUUGGGGUGUAAAGCUCUGUCAACAGGAACGAAACAAAUGACGGUACCUGUGGAGGAAGCAUCGGCUAACUACGUGCCAGCAGCCGCGGUAAGACGUAGGAUGCAAGCGUUGUCCGGAUUUAUUGGGCGUAAAGAGUUCGUAGGCGGUUUGUUAAGUCUGAUGUUAAAGACCGGGGCUCAACCUCGGAAAUGCAUUGGAUACUGGCAGACUGGAGUGCAGUAGAGGCUAGUGGAAUUCCCAGUGUAGCGGUGAAAUGCGUAGAUAUUGGGAAGAACACCGGUGGCGUAGGCGACUAGCUGGGCUGUAACUGACGCUGAGGAACGAAAGCCAGGGGAGCAAAUG